CAUGCCCUUAGGCAAAGAAUCCCAGGUUGGGAUAUAGAGUGCAUCCUCUGUUCUGCGAGAGGAGGUACGGAGUGGCAUGGAGAGAGAUCAGUGGGCAAGUCACGAGUUGUGACAGGUAAGGGUACCAAGUCUAUCUUGGCCAAGUGGGAGUGAUCAGUAUGACAUGUGCUCCUUCUCUUUUUAUUUUUAAUAGGACUUUUGACAGCAAGGGAAACAAAGGAAAGGCACAGAGAAGGUUCCUGUCCCAGGGAAGGAGAGCAUCACCCAGGUAGUGUUACCCUAUCCCUACUCUGGAGCAGUAACACGGACAUUUUCUUGUUCAGGUGAAUGGCAAACAGGUCUGUGGUCGGUGUCCCCCACCGCCUGAAUAGGUCUUAGAGUACUGCUGGAUUUAUCUCUCAUCCGUGGUCGUGUGAGAACAUGCAACUGAGACUGUCCGCUAUCGAGUUUUGUGUUCCCUGAAGGUAAGCCUCUGAUAAUGUAAUGUCAUGGAAGAUGCACCAAUUCCAUACUCUUACUGCUUCUGCCCACAGGGAGGGAGGACUCCUGUGUGCGAUACCUUGAUCAGCAGGAGGAAACGGGCGCAGGCAUUCCUGACCACCCUGAGCUCAAGGAGGUUGAUGUGGAGGGAUAUCUCCAUGGAUGACCAUUUGCCUUGUAUUGUGAGGUCAUUUAGAUGUGCACCCCAUUCUAUGAUAGAAGCAUUGAUGGUGAAGAACGACAGGGGAUGGGGAUGAGGUUUGUGAAAAGGGGAUCUCUUGGCAAACAUUUUUGCAGGCCCAGUUCCAUGAACAAGUCUAUUGUGGAUUCGGUGACUUGGUGAGCCUCUUGGAAGGACCGGGCUCUGAGGAGACAAUUGUCCAGGUGUCUUGCAACUGUCACUUCUACUGGGCAGACAGUAGGCUUUCACUGUAUCCCAGUACAAGUCAGUGAAUUGAGUCAGAAGCUCAACUGUACUAUUUCCAACUGUCUAAAUUGCCUGGUACAGAUAGACAAUUAAGAAAACAUUUUCUUGACUUUUUCUACAGAGCAAUACAUCUAACUGAGGCAGAAGACACAGAGAGAGGCUUGAAAGUAUAAGAGGUGGAUGGAGUGCUGGUGGAUUGCUUCUUUAGAACACUGUCUAGUGUUCGUACAUAGCUAGUGCUCUUGGUUGGAAGCUGAUAAACCACAGG
Molecule: long non-coding RNA, 1175 nt
Organism: Mauremys mutica (yellowpond turtle)
Lineage: Eukaryota; Metazoa; Chordata; Testudines; Geoemydidae
Exons: 5
Source: RefSeq, a predicted model, not a curated record